CUUUCGGGAAGUUGAUUUCUCCUUGUGGCUGGGCAGUCAGUACCAGAGACCUCCCAGGCAGCAGCUGCUAACCGUCUAUGAUGGACAAGACUCACCUGACCAGUGUCGUGAUGAGGAGAGAAGGAAACUACUACAAAGUUGGAACAUUCCUGAUUUCUCUGUGCCCCUUCUGGGUGGAGAACUGGGACCACGUCUCUGACGGGACAACGAAAAUUAUAGGGCUUUGCAUUUGAUUAAAAUUAAAUGCAGGCCAGGAAGGCAGAGGAAAGCACAUUGAAGAUGACACAAAAGUCAUGCACGAUGAAGGCUAUACAAUG
RNAcentral lists this long non-coding RNA (317 nucleotides) under Fukomys damarensis (Damara mole-rat). Its description in RNAcentral is "lncRNA (ENSFDAG00000022383.1)". Lineage: Eukaryota; Metazoa; Chordata; Mammalia; Rodentia; Bathyergidae. The record is from RNAcentral.